RNAcentral lists this ribosomal RNA (253 nucleotides) under uncultured prokaryote. RNAcentral's name for it is "partial 16S ribosomal RNA". It matches the Rfam family "Bacterial small subunit ribosomal RNA", at positions 524 to 776 of the family's 1533-position model. The record is from RNAcentral.
GACGUGGGGGGCCAGCGUUGCUCGGAAUUACUGGGUGUAAAGGGUUCGUAGGCGGUGUAGCAAGUCGGGAGUGAAAUCUCUGGGCUCAACCCAGAGACUGCUUCCGAAACUGCUGUGCUUGAGUGUGGGAGAGGCGCGUGGAAUUGCAGGUGUAGCGGUGAAAUGCGUAGAUAUCUGCAGGAACACCCGUGGCGAAGGCGGCUGACUGGAUCGCAACUGACACUGAGGAACGAAAGCUAGGGGAGCAAACAGG